GACGAACGCUGGCGGCGUGCUUAACACAUGCAAGUCGAACGGACAGGCCCUGCUUUUGUGGGGUGCUCGAGUGGCGAACGGGUGUGUAACACGUGAGUAACAUGCCCUUGACUUUGGGAUAACUUCAGGAAACUGGGGCUCAUACCGGAUAGGAGCUCCUGCUGCAUGGGGGGGGUUGGAAAGUUUCGGCCGUUGGGGAUGGACUCGCGGCUUAUCAGCUUGUUGGUGGGGUAGUGGCUUACCAAGGCUUUGACGGGUAGCCGGCCUGGGAGGGUGGCCGGCCACAAGGCGACUGAGGUACGGCGCAGACUCCUAUGUGAGGCAGCAGUGGGGAAUAUUGCACAAUGGGCGGAAGCCUGAUGCAGCAACGUCCCGUGCGUGAUGACGGCCUUCUGGUUGUAAACCGCUUUCGACUGUGACGAAGCGGUAGUGACGGUAACGGGUAAAGAAGCACCGGCUAACUACGUG
RNAcentral lists this ribosomal RNA (468 nucleotides) under uncultured bacterium. Its description in RNAcentral is "partial 16S ribosomal RNA". It matches the Rfam family "Bacterial small subunit ribosomal RNA", at positions 28 to 507 of the family's 1533-position model. The record is from RNAcentral.